RNAcentral lists this long non-coding RNA (1335 nucleotides) under Nicotiana benthamiana. RNAcentral describes it as "long non-coding RNA (NBEN_LNC032327)". Lineage: Eukaryota; Viridiplantae; Streptophyta; Magnoliopsida; Solanales; Solanaceae. The record is from RNAcentral.
UCCUAAAAAAUACUUAACUAAAUUAAUUUAUCAUGGGAAAUUUUAUCCAUCUCACUCCUAGAACCACCAAGAACCUCCAUAAUGGUUCAUUUGUUUCCAUAGAUUUCAAUAAGUUGAUUCCCCUAGAAAUCUGAUAAAGAAUCAUAUAGAACGAUGAAGGCAUCCCUAUCCUCAACACUAAGGAAUUUGUUAUGAAUUUCAUCUAAUUUUAUCCUAAAAAAUUAAGAAGAUCAAGCAAAGAGUUAAAAAGAGCCAUUUUUAUUUUCUUGAAAUCUUCAAGAAGUCUUCUUCCUUCCCUUUUACGAUCCCUUAUUUCUCUAUAUUUUGCUUCAUCCUUGAAUCAUUUCUUUUGACUUCAGGCUCUGAAUAUGAAUUAACUAGAGUUUUGAUCAUCUUGCGACGCAUUCUUCUACUAUUAAUUUUUGCUCCUCUAUCUAUAUCGCUCCUACUUGGAGCAAUCUGAGCACGUUCAUAUACAAUCAUAUCUGAAAAUAGAAAUAAGAAAUUAAAAAUGUGGUUGUUACAAUUUAAUACGACAAUUUAUGUCACAAAUUUUUGGUAGAGGAAAAAAAAGAUCAUAAAAAGGUUCUUAAAAAGUUAGAAGAUUUUAUUUUUCACAUAAAAAUUCUGGAAAGACCAAAAGGAAUAUAGCAUGAAUAUAUAAGUAUUAGGCAAAAAUAUUUAACAAUUUAUUUCAAAAACACUAAAAACAAAAGCAGCUUUUCGUCAGAAAAAUAGUCAAAAAGUAUCAAUCUUCAAAAAAAUAUAUCUCACUCGUUUUAAUCCGUUUUUCACAAAUAACAAAUUUUUUGAAAUACCAAAAAGAGUAGAUCAUGAUUAUAUUAGUCUUAGGCCAAAAUAUUUAAGAAAAGAUGGCUAAAAUGCAAAAAACCAGAAAUUAUUUUCUUUAAAACUUGUCAAAAAUUAGCCAACAAAAAAAAACUCUCAACCUAGACUUAUGAAAAGCAAUUUCAAGAUAAUCUACGUAUAUAACUGGAUAAUUCAACUAUGCUCUGAUACCGAUAUAAUAUAAUUCGAUGCAAAAAUAAUAGAUUGUGUACCUUAAAUUCGCAUCACAUAUUAUUGUUGUUGUUGUUGUUGUUUCUACCAAAAGAAUAUGCCCCAAGUCUCCUUUGAUUUCACUAGGAAAUAAAGGUUAAAAUUCACAAACUAAAUAUCUUUUAAUGUAAUGAUGUAAUCUGGAAAGUCAAAAUUGCUUUUUUUUCUAUAUAAUUUUUCCUCUUGUUUUCUACGUAAUGUCUCUUAUGCUCUCUCUUGUGAAGCAGAAGACUUUCCCUUUUUAUUAGGAGAGGAUAAGCAGUUAUCAGAUAAAUG